UGAGGAAUAUUGGUCAAUGGGCGCAAGCCUGAACCAGCCAUGCCGCGUGCAGGAUGACGGUCCUAUGGAUUGUAAACUGCUUUUGUACAGGAAGAAACACUCCCUCGUGAGGGAGCUUGACGGUACUGUAAGAAUAAGGAUCGGCUAACUCCGUG
Molecule: ribosomal RNA, 155 nt
Filed under: uncultured Flavobacterium sp.
Lineage: Bacteria; Pseudomonadati; Bacteroidota; Flavobacteriia; Flavobacteriales; Flavobacteriaceae
Description: partial 16S ribosomal RNA
Rfam family: Bacterial small subunit ribosomal RNA
Source: RNAcentral